RNAcentral lists this ribosomal RNA (330 nucleotides) under uncultured bacterium. Its description in RNAcentral is "bacterial SSU rRNA". It matches the Rfam family "Bacterial small subunit ribosomal RNA", at positions 568 to 898 of the family's 1533-position model. The record is from RNAcentral.
CGCGUAGGUGGUAGUGCAAGUCUGAGGUGGAAUCCUAUGGCUUAACCAUAGAACUGCCUUGGAAACUGCAUUACUUGAGUCAGUGAGGGGAGGGUAGAAUUCCUGGUGUAGCGGUGAAAUGCGUAGAUAUCAGGAGGAAGGCCGGUGGCGAAGGCGGCCCUCUGGCGCUGAACUGACACUGAGGCGCGAAAGCGUGGGGGGCAAACAGGAUUAGAUACCCUGGUAGUCCACGCCCUAAACGGUGGGUACUAGGUGUAGGGCUCGUAAGGGUUCUGUGCCGAAGCGAAAGCAUUAAGUACCCCGCCUGGGGAGUACGGCCGCAAGGUUGAA